GGUUGACCUCGGAUCAGGUAGGGAUACCCGCUGAACUUAAGCAUAUCAAUAAGCGGAGGAAAAGAAACCAACCGGGAUUGCCUCAGUAACGGCGAGUGAAGCGGCAAGAGCUCAAAUUUGAAAUCUGGCCCCUCCGGGGUCCGAGUUGUAAUUUGCAGAGGAUGCUUCGGGUGCGGCCCCCGUCUAAGUGCCCUGGAACGGGCCGUCAGAGAGGGUGAGAAUCCCGUCUUGGGCGGGGUGUCCGUGCCCGUGUGAAGCUCCUUCGACGAGUCGAGUUGUUUGGGAAUGCAGCUCUAAAUGGGUGGUAAAUUUCAUCUAAAGCUAAAUACUGGCCGGAGACCGAUAGCGCACAAGUAGAGUGAUCGAAAGAUGAAAAGCACUUUGAAAAGAGAGUUAAACAGCACGUGAAAUUGUUGAAAGGGAAGCGCUUGCGACCAGACUCGCUCGCGGGGUUCAGCCGGCAUUCGUGCCGGUGUACUUCCCCGCGGGCGGGCCAGCGUCGGUUUGGGCGGUCGGUCAAAGGCCUCCGGAAUGUAUCACCCUCCGGGGUGCCUUAUAGCCGGGGGUGCAAUGCGGCCAGCCCAGACCGAGGAACGCGCUUCGGCACGGACGCUGGCAUAAUGGUCGUAAACGACC
This 636-nucleotide ribosomal RNA is filed under the name Aspergillus biplanus. Its description in RNAcentral is "eukaryotic LSU rRNA". It matches the Rfam family "Eukaryotic large subunit ribosomal RNA", at positions 1 to 649 of the family's 3401-position model. RNAcentral also lists the same sequence under 1 other name. The record is from RNAcentral. Lineage: Eukaryota; Fungi; Ascomycota; Eurotiomycetes; Eurotiales; Aspergillaceae.